GGAAUAUUGGUCAAUGGGCGGGAGCCUGAACCAGCCAAGUAGCGUGCAGGAUGACUGCCCUAUGGGUUGUAAACUGCUUUUAUACGGGAAUAAAGUUCGCUAUGUAUAGUGUUUUGUAUGUACCGUAUGAAUAAGGACCGGCUAAUUCCGUGCCAGCAGCCGCGGUAAUACGGAAGGUCCGGGCGUUAUCCGGAUUUAUUGGGUUUAAAGGGAGCGCAGGCUGAUGAUUAAGCGUGACGUGAAAUGUAGCCGCUCAACGGCUGAACUGCGUCGCGAACUGGUUAUCUUGAGUCAGUUCGAUGUUGGCGGAAUUCGUGGUGUAGCGGUGAAAUGCUUAGAUAUCACGAAGAACUCCGAUAGCGAAGGCAGCCAACAAGGCCUUUACUGACGCUAAAGCUCGAAGGUGCGGGUAUCGAACA
This 419-nucleotide ribosomal RNA is filed under the name uncultured Prevotella sp. RNAcentral's name for it is "bacterial SSU rRNA". It matches the Rfam family "Bacterial small subunit ribosomal RNA", at positions 358 to 774 of the family's 1533-position model. Lineage: Bacteria; Pseudomonadati; Bacteroidota; Bacteroidia; Bacteroidales; Prevotellaceae. The record is from RNAcentral.